GCCCCCGUAGCUCAGUGGAUAGAGCAAUGGAUUCCUAAUCCAUGUGCCGCAGGUUCGAUUCCUGCCGGGGGCACCA
This 76-nucleotide transfer RNA is filed under the name Desulfosalsimonas propionicica. RNAcentral describes it as "tRNA-Arg". It matches the Rfam family "tRNA". From Rfam's summary of the family: Transfer RNA (tRNA) molecules are approximately 80 nucleotides in length. Their secondary structure includes four short double-helical elements and three loops (D, anti-codon, and T loops). The record is from RNAcentral. Lineage: Bacteria; Pseudomonadati; Thermodesulfobacteriota; Desulfobacteria; Desulfobacterales; Desulfosalsimonadaceae. RNAcentral also lists the same sequence under 7 other names.